GACGAACGCUGGCGGCGUGCCUAACACAUGCAAGUCGAACGGAGAUUAUUGAUGAAGCUUGCGAUUUAAUAAUCUUAGUGGCGGACGGGUGAGUAACGCGUGAGAAACCUGCCUUUCACAAAGGGAUAGCCUCGGGAAACUGGGAUUAAUACCUUAUGAUACUUACAUUUCACAUGAGAAGUAAGUUAAAGCGCAAAGCGGUGAAAGAUGGUCUCGCGUCCCAUUAGUUAGUUGGUGAGGUAACGGCUCACCAAGACCGCGAUGGGUAGCCGGCCUGAGAGGGUGAACGGCCAC
Molecule: ribosomal RNA, 294 nt
Filed under: uncultured bacterium
Lineage: Bacteria
Description: partial 16S ribosomal RNA
Rfam family: Bacterial small subunit ribosomal RNA
Source: RNAcentral